GACGAACGCUGGCGGCGUGCUUAACACAUGCAAGUCGAACGGAAAGGCCCUGCUUGCAGGGUACUCGAGUGGCGAACGGGUGAGUAACACGUGGGUGAUCUGCCCUGCACUUCGGGAUAAGCCUGGGAAACUGGGUCUAAUACCGGAUAGGAGCCAUUUUUAGUGUGAUGGUUGGAAAGUUUUUUCGGUGUAGGAUGAGCUCGCGGCCUAUCAGCUUGUUGGUGGGGUAAUGGCCUACCAAGGCGGCGACGGGUAGCCGGCCUGAGAGGGUGGACGGCCACAUUGGGACUGAGAUACGGCCCAGACUCCUACGGGAGGCAGCAGUGGGGAAUAUUGCACAAUGGGCGCAAGCCUGAUGCAGCGACGCCGCGUGGGGGAUGACGGCCUCGGGUUGUAAACUCCUUUCGCUAGGGACGAAGCUUUUUGUGACGGUACCUAGAGAAGAAGCACCGGCUAACUACGUG
This 464-nucleotide ribosomal RNA is filed under the name uncultured bacterium. Its description in RNAcentral is "partial 16S ribosomal RNA". It matches the Rfam family "Bacterial small subunit ribosomal RNA", at positions 28 to 507 of the family's 1533-position model. The record is from RNAcentral.